GUAUGCUACAGGACAUGUGGCUGAUGCCCUAGCCCAGAGUAACACUGUAUACUGUAGUAUGAACAGGUAUGCUACAGGACAUGUGGCUGAUGCCCUAGCCCAGAGUAACACUGUAUACUGUAGUAUGAACAGGUAUGCUACAGGACAUGUGGCUGAUGCCCUAGCCCAGAGUAACACUGUAUACUGUAGUAUGAACAGGUAUGCUACAGGACAUGUGGCUGAUGCCCUAGCCAAGAGUAACACUGUAUACUGUAGUAUGAACAGGUAUGCUACAGGACAUGUGGCUGAUGCCCUAGCCCAGAGUAACACUGUAUACUGUAGUAUGAACAGGUAUGCUACAGGACAGGUAUGCUACAGGACAGGUAUGCUACAGGACAUGUGGCUGAUGCCCUAGCCCAGAGUAACACUGUAUACUGUAGUAUGAACAGGUAUGCUACAGGACAUGUGGCUGAUGCCCUAGCCAAGAGUAACACUGUAUACUGUAGUAUGAACAGGUAUGCUACAGGACAUGUGGCUGAUGCCCUAGCCCAGAGUAACACUG
RNAcentral lists this long non-coding RNA (541 nucleotides) under Salmo salar (Atlantic salmon). RNAcentral's name for it is "lncRNA (ENSSSAG00000101224.1)". Lineage: Eukaryota; Metazoa; Chordata; Actinopteri; Salmoniformes; Salmonidae. The record is from RNAcentral.